UAUAUUUAGUAUUUUAUUUAUAUUUUUGUUUAUUUUUUAAAAUUUAAAGUUUUUAAAAUUAAUUUUUUUUAUAUUUUGUCUUAAGGACAGUUUAGAAAUUUCAGUCUUCAUAUAAAAGAUUUGUCUUUAUUUACUCAAUUUGAAAAAAUAUAAGGUAAAUUUUUAAACAAAAAAGAUAUUUACACAUUCUCUAUAUAACAAUUUUUAUUUUUUUACACUUUAUCCUUUUUAUUUUAUUUUAUUAUUUUCUCUGUUGCCUUUUGUUUCUCAGAGAAGUGGGCGACCAGCCAGCCAACUGCGCUACUUUUUUCACUGCGUGGAACAAAGCAAGCAAGUCUCUUAGCAAACAAGCUAUCUCUCGAAUCUUCAGCUGUUUGUGUUGGAUUUUGGACAAAAUCAAAUCCCAUGGAGAAAACCAGUGAGAAGGUUGAUAAAGGAGGGUUGUGUUUGGAGGAUCACAUUCGUGGACUUCCUUAUUGUUAAGACGUGCUACAAUUUUCCUGACACGGGUCGGAUUACAAAUCACUUGCAUUCAUUGUCUCUUGGGUUUACUAUCUGCAACUCCCUAACCAAUCUCCUGCUGGCACAUGUGAAUGUAACUGGACAAGUUCUCGAGUACUUCUUAACUAAGUGUCCAUUUCUGGAACAAUUGUCUGUGCAAGACUCUGACUGUCUAGUAAAUCUGAAAGUUCCCAAUGUAUCAAUCAAAUUGAAGCGCUUGGAGAUAACUUAUUGCCACUAUGUGAAAAGUAUUGAGAUUUCUGCAAUGAAUCUUAUGUCUUUUAAAUACUUCGGACCAAAAAUAGGCCUGCCAUUUAAGGACCUCCAGAUUCUGUUGAAAUGUAUAUCGGGGCUGAGUAUUGCAAAUAUCUAAUUUAUAACAUUUUGGGGAUUUCAAGCUAUCUUUCCCAGCUAGAGAGCCUUACCUUGCACAUGACCUCCAUCAAGAAUAGUAUUGGUUUAGCCAAAUUUCCUGUAUUUAAUAAGCUCAAGCAACUGGAGUUAGAGAAUUAGUGCAAUUGAAAAUGAAGAACUUAUGGUUUUUGCUCCCCUAAUAGAGGCAUGUCCUUUCUUGUAUAAAUUUGUGUUGGAGCUGCAAUUGUUGCGACUGUUUACAUCUCGGCCCCAUCAGUACCUUAAGGUGGUGGAAUUCAUUGGGUUUGCUGGGCUUACAAUUGAUGUUGAGCUUGCAAUGUAUUUAAUUAAGAGUGCUGUCAUGCUUGAGAAGAUUACUUUUGAUCCUCGCAAUCCACUUCUUAUAAGAAGUCCAUUGGAGUUUAUGGAGACCAAGGAGAAAAAAACAGCGAGAAAACGUGCCAAAUACCUUGGAACCAAACUUCCUGCUGGAGUAGCUUUAGUAAUCCUUUAAAUCUUUGAUUAUAUGUUAUAAGCUAUUGCUUGUACAUCUUACUCUUGUAAAUAUAUCGGAUAGUUCAAUGUUGGGAAAAGGCUUAAGUGGAAGUAUUAAUUGCAAAAGGAAGUUGAGAGAUUUUUAUUUAUUUUAUUUUACCUUGGCAAGAUACUCACACUCUUUUACCCCUAUGAAAACUUAAACCCUAACUUUCCACUUUGGGGGGUAGGAGAUACCAUGUUUGGAUGGGCAGCUAUGUAUAUGAUUUUUGGCUGGCUACACAUGAAAUCUCUCUCUCUCUCUCUCUCUGUGUGUCUCUGAGUUGAAUUAGUUAUACACGGGGUCAUGUUUUUCCAUGAAAAUUGAGCAUGAUUAAAGGUCAUACUCAUUUUAUUUGGUACAGAAAAAUGAUAUUUCACACUAAUAUUUAUAAUAGGUACAAACAUUACAAUGCUUAAUUUUCACAACACGAGACUCAACUUGGAAUAUUCAUAUUAUCAUUCUUUCUUCUACCUUAUAUGAACAAAGUCUUUCAUAUGAAGUUUUUUAUUACUUUUGUUAUCAACCAUGUACUCUAAAAGUUUAAGUUGUUAGAGAGGGUAUAACUUUAAUGUUUAACUUUCACACUUAAACAACACGUGUUUUAAUUUUAAUUAUGAGAGUGAUGGUGAAGUUUGAACACAGGACUUGCCUGUUCCGAUACCAUGUUAACAACCAUCUACUCUAAAAGCUUAAGUUGUUAGAGAGGGUGUAGAUUUAAUAUUUAAAUCCUUCAACAAUUUUAGCUUUCAAAUCAAUGACUAUAUCCCUACAUCCAUUGUUAGCAUAUAGGAAGAUACCCAAGACAAGAUGGUAUAAAUAGAGGAGUGCAUCUAGUCUAUUUUGUGAUAGGCGUGUCCCCUUAAGAUUGAAAGGGAAGUUCUAUCGAACCACUAUUAGGGUACCCAUACUUUAUGGCACAGAGUGUUGGGCAACUAGGAAACAAUAUAGGCAUAAAUUGAGUGUGGUGGAAAUAUAAAUGUUGGGAUGGAUUAGCGGUUAGACUAUAAAGGAUAGAAUUAGAAAUGAUCACAUUCGGAAGAUGGUUGGAGUAGCACAAAUCAGAGAUAAAAUGAGAGGAAAUCGGUUAAGAUGGUUUGGACGUGUGCAAAUAAGACCUUAAAAGCGCUAGUUAGGAAGAGUGGCAUAGUCCACAUACUAGGGGAAGAGGAAGAUCAAAGUUAAUGUAGGUAGAGUUAGUAAAGAAGGAUAUGAUAGCAUGUGCUUGAUUGAGUCUUUGACCUUAGAUAGAGCGGUAUGGAAACAUAGGAUUCAUGUAGCCGUCCCCAAGUAGUUGGGAAAAAGGCUUGGUAGUGGUGGUUGUUGUUUAUACAAUUUUCACCUGUUUUUAAAACCUUAACAUGUCCUAAAUUCGGCUUCAAUCUACCUUCUCACUCUUUCUUUUAGGGCCAAAGUCCAUCAUACUUCACACUGUAGCUUUUCAUCUUUUAAGACUGUUACAACUCUAUGCAACAAGCAAGUUCGGAGGUGACUAAGAAAGUUGAUUACUUCAAUUUAGAAGAAAUCUUUAUGGGAAUGAAGGCAAUAGGAAUAUGCAGAUGAGUGCUCUAGAAGAACAUAGCAAUAGCUUGCUUCACAAAGAUGCUCUUCGUUUCCAGAUGCUUCAAAAGACAAGAUUAUUGUUAAUAAUCCCGUUUACGUAAAAGGAAGUCCACGGGAGUUCAUGGAGACGAAGGAGAAAAAAAAACAGCGAGAAAGCGUGCCAAGUACCUUGGAACCAAACAUCCUGCUGGAGCAGCUUUAGCCAACUACUGGUGGCACUGCACCUGCGAAGGUGUGAACUGCUGCGAUUAUGAUUGACAAAUACAAUGCUCUUCGCCUGUAAGACUUUGAGAAAGUGGUACUCUUUUUUUGUUGGAUCAAUAAUGUACGAUUUCCGAUGCCUGGUACGAUUGAUAUUUGAUGCUUGCAGGGAUUGUAUUCGAUCCAAGACGUAUUAGUAUCUGUUUGCAUUCUUCAUAAUUUUGCAGUUUACCCUCUGAUUCUUUAGAGGAUUGUUUUGAUUUCAUCCUCUUGUCUCUGCCGAGAAAAUAGCAACUUGAUAUGAUGGAUUAAUGGUUUUGUCAUUUGGAGGAAUCUUGUGCCGAUAAUAAUGUGGCAAAUUCAGGUUCUUUUGUAGUCUGCCAUGUACCAUAUUGUUUUGAUGAUAGUUGAUGCUUUAAAUCAGUUAAUGUGACAAUUCCUAUUGAUCAAAUUUAUUCUAAAAUUUCCAUGUUGACAUGGCAUCAUUAUUGCUAACUAUGGGACUAAAAAUUUCGGUUUAGUUAUCACUUUCAUUUCUUCCAUUGAAUGAAAUACUCCUGGUUGUAGACCAUGGAACAAUCUGCCACUAAUCGUUCCAGCAUAAGAGCUAUUUGCUUCAUUAUUACAGCUGAUUAACAGUGAUUUUUUCGAUUGGGCGAUGAUACUUGAACUCUGCUUUAUGCUGUUGCAUAUAAUAUGUUUUUUUUUUUUUUUUCGUAGAAAACGAAAUGACAAUUGUUCUUCAAAUGCAGUCUCACACUAUAGAAAUAUUUUGAAACAAUAUCGUGUAAUGCGAAUCUCUCAUUCCUUUUGUUUUUUGCUUCCAGAUGCAUGCAACUAAUAUUCUGGACUAGUUGAAGUAGAAUUAAAAAUAAUCAUGAGUUUGGUAUAUAUUUUAGUUCAAUGGUUUGUCUGCCACUUUCUUUGAUACGCUACUAGUUACAUGCUACUAUGAUUUUGGCUUCAAUGUUGUCUGUCAUUUUCUUUGCUAUGGUCUUGGCUUGGGUUAUGGGGAAUACUAUAUGAAAAGAGAUUAAUAAUUAAUAUAAUCUUCUGAUGGCACAUGUGAAUUUAACUGGACAAGUUCUCGAGUAGUUCUUAACUAGCUGUCCAUUUUUGGAACAAUUGUCUGUGCAAGACACUGACUCGUAAAUCUGAAAGUUCCUGAUGUAUCACUCAAAUUGAAGCACUUGGAGAUAACUAACUGCUUCAAUGUUGAAAAUAUUGAGAUUUCUGCAAUGAAUCUCUGUCACUUAAGUAAUUCGGACCAAAAAUAAACCUGCCAUUUAAGAACAUACAGAAGCUUGUUGCACUGUAUAUCGAGGGUUAGUUUUGCAAAUCUCUAAUUUUAACUUUUUUGGGGAUUUUAAGUAAUCUUUCUGAGCUAGAGAGCCUUAUAUUGCACAGGACCUCCAUUGAGGUUAUUAAGUGGAACUAAUUCAUUUUAUCUCCUCCCCCUUUAAUUUUAUUUUAUUCAAUCUGUGCUGAUUUUUUACUUUUUCUUUGGUUUAUUCAGAAUAGUAUUGGGUUUGCUAAAUUUCCUAUAUUUAAUAAGCUCAAGUAACUGGAGUUGGGAAUUGGUGCAAGUGAUGAUGAAGACAUUAUUGUUUUUGCUCCCCUGAGGCAUGUACUUUCUUGUAUAAAUUUGUGUUGGAGCUGCAAUGGUCCAAGUCCAAUCUGAGAAGAAAACAGCUAAGGGUUACAUCUUGGCCCCAUCAGAACCUUAAGGAAGUCCUUGGGAGUUCAUGGAGACCAAGGAGAAAAAAGCAGCGAGAAAGCGUACCAAGUACCUUGGAACCGGACUUCCUGCUGGAGCAGCUUCAGCUGUAGAGAAGCUAAGCUUGUGGGGUUUGUUUACCUGUGGCCUUCCUCUUCGUAUUGUCAUGAUCGGAACCCUUACUGGAGUGCAGUGGGGUAUCUAUGAUGCUUUCAAAGUUUUUGUUGGGUUGCCAACUACUGGUGGC
Cornus florida is the source of this 5118-nucleotide RNA transcript. It is a transcript of the gene named mitochondrial phosphate carrier protein 3, mitochondrial-like, with no coding region annotated. The record is from RefSeq and is a predicted model, not a curated record. The transcript has 12 exons. NCBI's taxonomy places the organism in Eukaryota, Viridiplantae, Streptophyta, Magnoliopsida, Cornales, Cornaceae.